Molecule: microRNA precursor, 73 nt
Filed under: Chinchilla lanigera (long-tailed chinchilla)
Lineage: Eukaryota; Metazoa; Chordata; Mammalia; Rodentia; Chinchillidae
Description: microRNA 191 (ENSCLAG00000020895.1)
Rfam family: mir-191 microRNA precursor family
Source: RNAcentral
GCGGGCAACGGAAUCCCAAAAGCAGCUGUUGUCUCGAGAGCAUUCCAGCUGCGCUUGGAUUUCGUUCCCUGCU